Molecule: transfer RNA, 72 nt
Filed under: Camelus bactrianus (Bactrian camel)
Lineage: Eukaryota; Metazoa; Chordata; Mammalia; Artiodactyla; Camelidae
Also listed under: 1 other name
Rfam family: tRNA
About the family: Transfer RNA (tRNA) molecules are approximately 80 nucleotides in length. Their secondary structure includes four short double-helical elements and three loops (D, anti-codon, and T loops).
Source: Rfam by way of RNAcentral
GGGGAAGAAGCUCAGUGGUAGAGCACAUGCUUAGCAUGCAGGAGGUUCUGAGUUCUAUCCCCAGUACCUCCA